RNA transcript from Triticum dicoccoides, 3039 nucleotides. RefSeq lists it as uncharacterized. The transcript has 3 exons. The record is from RefSeq and is a predicted model, not a curated record. NCBI's taxonomy places the organism in Eukaryota, Viridiplantae, Streptophyta, Magnoliopsida, Poales, Poaceae.
CGCUCGCGCGAUCCGAGGAGGAUCUGCUCGCGUGAUCCGUGGCGGCGCUUUACGUAAAUGUUUUCUAAAAAAACAACGCAAUUAAUUAGCUGGGCCCUGCAUAUACAUGCAUGUACGUUGGGGGUCAAAUCUCCCGUCCACGCCGCCUUCACGAUCGCCAGUCCACGUCGCCUCCAUGAUCGCCAGCCCAUGCCGCCGAAACCUAGCCAUCUGCGCCCGCCGCCCCCGCCGCCAUCUGCGGCCGCCGCCGGCCGCGACGACAUCUGACAUCGACGCCUCUCUCGCCACGUGACGCCGACGCACCCGACGCCAUCUGCCCCUAUGCCACCCCUCAUGCCGACGCCCGGACAGUGCCCCCAUCACGUCGCCGUUCCCAGCGAGCCGUCUGUGACGUCGCUGUCCGCCGUGUCUGAAGUCGUCGUCCGCCGUUCCCCUGCGCCAGGGGCGGAGCUACCUCCCAGCGACCCCGGACAGCUUCCCGGGCUGCUCCGGCCAUUCUCCACUAAGUAGUACACAUAAACCAUGAUUAAUAUCACUAAUUACAGGGGCAAAUUCUGGACAACGGCACUGUAUACAGGCUUUGCCCCGGCUCCUUGAGUUGGCUGGCUCCGCCACUGCCCUGCGCACUGUCGUCCCUCCCGGCCGGCCCGAUCCCAUGGCACGAGGUACAACUUCUACCACACGUACUGUGCAUCAGGGGCGGAGCUUUGGUGGGGCUAAACUGGGCUAGCACGAGCAUGUAGCAGCGAUUUACUCAAAGAAAAAAGAGCAUGUAGCAGCGCUGCAGUAUCUCCUGGCCACAGCCGGCAGCAGCACUCCGCACUCGUACUAGGUCUAUUAUUGGCUGGGAAAAAUAGUUAGAUGGAAAUAGUACUACACUACCCAUUUAAUUUUCCUACAUUGCUUCGUUAGAUAACCAGAUUUUUGCACUCGCUUUUUCUUUACAUUUUACGGACCAUAACAUAUAUUUGGUUGCCAUAAGCAAUGGACAUCAGCCACUCACACUCAAGGAAGAAUUGGUUUUUAAAGAAAAAGAUAUCAUUACAAAAAUUCAAAUUAAUACUCGCUCCGUUCCUCAAUAUAAGGUGUAUUAUUUUUCUAAAAAGUCAAACUUCUCUAAGUUUGACCAAGUUUAUAGACAAAAAUAUCAAUAUCUAGAAUACCAAAUCAUUAUCACUAGAUUCAUCCUGGACUAUAUUUUUACAUUUUAUAUCUUUACUAUUAUAAAUCUUUAUAUAUUUUGUUGUAAAGUUGGUCAAAUGUAGACAACAAUUGACUUUUUGAAAAACUAAUACACCUUAUAUUUAGGAACGGAGGGAGUAUAUACAUAUCUACUCACUCCAUCUUAAAAAAAAAGAGAUCAUUACUAAUGCCUAUUAUUUAGUACUUCGAAAUUUUGUGAUAUCUCUUUUUCUGGCCCGCCCAACUUUUUCUUUGGAGCUCCGCCACUGUUGUGCAUUCAUCAUCUUUAUCAUGUAACCAUGUAAAGUAUCUAAUAUUUUGUUGCUUCUAUUCAUAGUGAUGAACGCGUACGUAGAGAUAUAUUAUUCCGUUGGAAAGUGGUGUUUGUUGGUCACCAAACUGAACUCUAGGCAGAAAAGCGUUUUGCAAGCACUAGACUAGAAAAAAUGUUGAUGAUUCCUAGUGUGCUCAUGCGAAAGUGUUUGCUGAAGUUCAUUAUUAAAUCAUAUGCAUUGGACAGAAAAAAGUUCAUCAUCCAAUCAAAAAACGGUGCGAUAUCAUUGCGCACUGAAGAUGUGUUUGACAUUUUCGGGCCACAGAACAAGGGCAGAGAUGCCAUGAAAGUGCUAGGUAAAGGGGGGGUUAAAGGCGAAGGUGAAGGUGCCUAGUUGUUUUGUAGAUUCCAGUAUGGGUGAAAUGAUGAUAGACCAACUAAUUGAGGACAUUGUUGCCAGUGGCACGCAUGAUGAUGAUUACCGCACUCCACGAAUGAAGUUCCUAAUGCUUAUUACAAGUUAGUGGAGGAUGUGGAGGCCAUAAAAGCAUUUAAUUGAAAUGCAUUUACUUUACGCGUUUGCGUUGAGGGCAUCACAAAGGCGGUAUCGGAUCUUACAAAAUUUACUUGGCCGAUCAGAAACCUUGUCCUCAUACAGAAAGUGUAGCCACUAGAUGAAGAGGCAUUCGAUCCACUGGCUCAUGAAUAUCCGUUGAUGCAUAAUUGGACAGAAGAUGAGGCUCAGAAGCGUGACGCGUACGACACAUCAUACGGCCGGGGUAAUGGGACGAUUGAUGACGAUAUAAGUGAGAAGUACAUACAUACAUUAAUUGCUCAAGAAGGGAAAAAAUGCGGAGGAAGAAUUUGAGCCAGAAGAUAGCAGGUCGUGCCCCAAAAAAGAAAGAUAAUAGAGAUGGUAUUAUUCAUAAUGUUUGUAUGUAGUUAAUGCUUUUGAUGUGUUAUUGCAGAUAGUAGUGGAGGAGCUGGAGAAGAAAGGAUUUGUCUUCAAGCCAAACAAGGGGUUUCGUGAUGAUGUUGAGUUUGUGGAGCAUAGUGAUGACUGGGUGGGGAAAUAUGGCCAUCUGUCCUGAUGGGCCAUAUUUCCCCACCCAGUCUAAUAUGGCCAUCUGUCCUGAUGGGCCAUAUUUCCCCACCCAGUCUUCACUAUACUCCACAAACUCAACAUCAUCACCAAACCCCUUGUUUGGCUUGAAGACAAAUCCUUUCUUCUCCAGCUUCUCGACUACUAUCUGCAAUAACAUAUUGAAAGCAUUAACUAUGUGCAAACAUUAUGAAUAAUCUCAUGUAAAUUGAAGUACACAUCACUCAUUACCUCAGAACAUUUUUCAGGGAGAAGACGAAUUUCUUUUUCAUAUCUUUGAUGUUUUUCAUCACUUGAUCUAAUGUAGUGUCCCUGCUCGACGAAGCCUCAUCUCUAUUAUCUUUCUUUUUUCGGGCACGACCUGCUAUAUCUUCUGGCUCAGAUUCUUUCUCCGCAUUUUUUCCUUCUUGAGCAAUUAAUGUCUGUCUGUACUUCUCACUUAUCACGCCAUCAAUCUGUGACACGUUAAAUUAAUUUAAAU